UUGGUGAAUAAGUCAGCCAGA
RNAcentral lists this non-coding RNA (21 nucleotides) under Arabidopsis thaliana (thale cress). Lineage: Eukaryota; Viridiplantae; Streptophyta; Magnoliopsida; Brassicales; Brassicaceae. The record is from RNAcentral.